CCUACGGGAGGCAGCAGUGAGGAAUAUUGGUCAAUGGACGAGAGUCUGAACCAGCCAAGUAGCGUGAAGGAUGACUGCCCUAUGGGUUGUAAACUUCUUUUAUAUGGGAAUAAAAUGUUCCACGUGUGGGAUUUUGUAUGUACCAUAUGAAUAAGGAUCGGCUAACUCCGUGCCAGCAGCCGCGGUAAUACGGAGGAUCCGAGCGUUAUCCGGAUUUAUUGGGUUUAACGGGAGCGUAGGUGGCUUGUUAAGUCAGUUGUGAAAGUUUGCGGCUCAACCGUAAAAUUGCAGUUGCAACUGGCAGUCUUGAGUACAGUAGCGGUGGGCGGAAUUCGUUGUGUAGCGGUUACAUGCUUCGAUAUCACG
Molecule: ribosomal RNA, 366 nt
Filed under: uncultured bacterium
Lineage: Bacteria
Description: partial 16S ribosomal RNA
Rfam family: Bacterial small subunit ribosomal RNA
Source: RNAcentral